CGGCGGACGGGUUAGUAACACGUGGAUAACCUACCUAUAAGACUGGGAUAACUUCGGGAAACCGGAGCUAAUACCGGAUAAUAUAUUGAACCGCAUGGUUCAAUAGUGAAAGACGGUUUUGCUGUCACUUAUAGAUGGAUCCGCGCCGCAUUAGCUAGUUGGUAAGGUAACGGCUUACCAAGGCAACGAUGCGUAGCCGACCUGAGAGGGUGAUCGGCCACACUGGAACUGAGACACGGUCCAG
This 244-nucleotide ribosomal RNA is filed under the name uncultured Staphylococcus sp. Its description in RNAcentral is "partial 16S ribosomal RNA". It matches the Rfam family "Bacterial small subunit ribosomal RNA", at positions 96 to 334 of the family's 1533-position model. The record is from RNAcentral. Lineage: Bacteria; Bacillati; Bacillota; Bacilli; Caryophanales; Staphylococcaceae.